AGAGUUUGAUCCUGGCUCAGGAUGAACGCUGGCGGCGUGCCUAAUACAUGCAAGUCGAGCGAACGGACGAGAAGCUUGCUUCUCUGAUGUUAGCGGCGGACGGGUGAGUAACACGUGGAUAACCUACCUAUAAGACUGGGAUAACUUCGGGAAACCGGAGCUAAUACCGGAUAAUAUUUUGAACCGCAUGGUUCAAAAGUAAAAGACGGUCUUGCUGUCACUUAUAGAUGGAUCCGCGCUGCAUUAGCUAGUUGGUAAGGUAACGGCUUACCAAGGCAACGAUGCAUAGCCGACCUGAGAGGGUGAUCGGCCACACUGGAACUGAGACACGGUCCAGACUCCUACGGGAGGCAGCAGUAGGGAAUCUUCCGCAAUGGGCGAAAGCCUGACGGAGCAACGCCGCGUGAGUGAUGAAGGUCUUCGGAUCGUAAAACUCUGUUAUUAGGGAAGAACAUAUGUGUAAGUAACUGUGCACAUCUUGACGGUACCUAAUCAGAAAGCCACGGCUAACUACGUGCCAGCAGCCGCGGUAAUACGUAGGUGGCAAGCGUUAUCCGGAAUUAUUGGGCGUAAAGCGCGCGUAGGCGGUUUUUUAAGUCUGAUGUGAAAGCCCACGGCUCAACCGUGGAGGGUCAUUGGAAACUGGAAAACUUGAGUGCAGAAGAGGAAAGUGGAAUUCCAUGUGUAGCGGUGAAAUGCGCAGAGAUAUGGAGGAACACCAGUGGCGAAGGCGACUUUCUGGUCUGUAACUGACGCUGAUGUGCGAAAGCGUGGGGAUCAAACAGGAUUAGAUACCCUGGUAGUCCACGCCGUAAACGAUGAGUGCUAAGUGUUAGGGGGUUUCCGCCCCUUAGUGCUGCAGCUAACGCAUUAAGCACUCCGCCUGGGGAGUACGACCGCAAGGUUGAAACUCAAAGGAAUUGACGGGGACCCGCACAAGCGGUGGAGCAUGUGGUUUAAUUCGAAGCAACGCGAAGAACCUUACCAAAUCUUGACAUCCUUUGACAACUCUAGAGAUAGAGCCUUCCCCUUCGGGGGACAAAGUGACAGGUGGUGCAUGGUUGUCGUCAGCUCGUGUCGUGAGAUGUUGGGUUAAGUCCCGCAACGAGCGCAACCCUUAAGCUUAGUUGCCAUCAUUAAGUUGGGCACUCUAAGUUGACUGCCGGUGACAAACCGGAGGAAGGUGGGGAUGACGUCAAAUCAUCAUGCCCCUUAUGAUUUGGGCUACACACGUGCUACAAUGGACAAUACAAAGGGCAGCGAAACCGCGAGGUCAAGCAAAUCCCAUAAAGUUGUUCUCAGUUCGGAUUGUAGUCUGCAACUCGACUACAUGAAGCUGGAAUCGCUAGUAAUCGUAGAUCAGC
This 1364-nucleotide ribosomal RNA is filed under the name Staphylococcus aureus M0943. Its description in RNAcentral is "bacterial SSU rRNA". It matches the Rfam family "Bacterial small subunit ribosomal RNA", at positions 8 to 1353 of the family's 1533-position model. RNAcentral also lists the same sequence under 1 other name. The record is from RNAcentral. Lineage: Bacteria; Bacillati; Bacillota; Bacilli; Caryophanales; Staphylococcaceae.